GGAGCCGUGGUGUAGUUGGUUAACACGUCGGCCUGUCACGCCGAAGAUCGCGAGUUCGAGUCUCGUCGGUUCCGCCA
Molecule: transfer RNA, 77 nt
Filed under: Bacillota bacterium
Lineage: Bacteria; Bacillati; Bacillota
Also listed under: 1 other name
Description: Firmicutes bacterium (anaerobic digester metagenome) tRNA-Asp
Rfam family: tRNA
About the family: Transfer RNA (tRNA) molecules are approximately 80 nucleotides in length. Their secondary structure includes four short double-helical elements and three loops (D, anti-codon, and T loops). Further hydrogen bonds mediate the characteristic L-shaped molecular structure. tRNAs have two regions of fundamental functional importance: the anti-codon, which is responsible for specific mRNA codon recognition, and the 3' end, to which the tRNAs corresponding amino acid is attached (by aminoacyl-tRNA synthetases). tRNAs cope with the degeneracy of the genetic code in two manners: having more than one tRNA (with a specific anti-codon) for a particular amino acid; and 'wobble' base-pairing, i.e. permitting non-standard base-pairing at the 3rd anti-codon position.
Source: RNAcentral